Molecule: ribosomal RNA, 468 nt
Filed under: uncultured bacterium
Lineage: Bacteria
Description: partial 16S ribosomal RNA
Rfam family: Bacterial small subunit ribosomal RNA
Source: RNAcentral
GACGAGCGCUGGCGGCGUGCUUAACACAUGCAAGUCGAACGGAAAGGCCCUGCUUUUGUGGGGUGCUCGAGUGGCGAACGGGUGAGUAACACGUGAGUAACCUGCCCUUGACUUUGGGAUAACUUCAGGAAACUGGGGCUAAUACCGGAUAGGAGCUCCUGCUGCAUGGUGGGGGUUGGAAAGUUUCGGCGGUUGGGGAUGGACUCGCGGCUUAUCAGCUUGUUGGGGGGGUAGUGGCUUACCAAGGCUUUGACGGGUAGCCGGCCUGAGAGGGUGACCGGCCACAUUGGGACUGAGAUACGGCCCAGACUCCUACGGGAGGCAGCAGUGGGGAAUAUUGCACAAUGGGCGGAAGCCUGAUGCAGCAACGCCGCGUGCGGGAUGACGGCCUUCGGGUUGUAAACCGCUUUCGCCUGUGACGAAGCGUGAGUGACGGUAAUGGGUAAAGAAGCACCGGCUAACUACGUG